GAUGAACGCUGGCGGUAUGCUUAACACAUGCAAGUCGAACGGUCACUUCGGUGAUAGUGGCGGACGGGUGAGUAACGCGUGAGAAUCUGUCUUCAGGUCGGGGACAACAGUUAGAAAUGACUGCUAAUACCGGAUGUGCCUUUGGGUGAAAGAUUUAUUGCCUGAAAAAGAGCUCGCGUCAGAUUAGCUAGUAGGUGGUGUAAGAGACUACCUAGGCUCCGAUCUGUAGCUGGUCUGAGAGGACGAUCAGCCACACUGGAACUGAGACACGGUCCAGACUCCUACGGGAGGCAGCAGUGGGGAAUUUUCCGCAAUGGGCGAAAGCCUGACGGAGCAAUACCGCGUGAGGGACGAAGGCUUUUGGGUCGUAAACCUCUUUCCUCAAGGAAGAUGAUGACGGUACUUGAGGAAUAAGCAUCGGCUAACUCUGUG
RNAcentral lists this ribosomal RNA (432 nucleotides) under uncultured bacterium. RNAcentral describes it as "partial 16S ribosomal RNA". It matches the Rfam family "Bacterial small subunit ribosomal RNA", at positions 28 to 507 of the family's 1533-position model. The record is from RNAcentral.